RNAcentral lists this long non-coding RNA (620 nucleotides) under Populus trichocarpa (black cottonwood). Its description in RNAcentral is "long non-coding RNA (PTRI_LNC001298)". The record is from RNAcentral. Lineage: Eukaryota; Viridiplantae; Streptophyta; Magnoliopsida; Malpighiales; Salicaceae.
GGUAACCGAAGUUUAUUGUAGAUACGCAGAAAAAUUUAUAUAUUUAUUUUAGGGUGUUUUCAAUGUUGAUAAAUAAAUAGGUUUUGCUCUACAUAUUUGGUCUAGCUUUGAAGCCUUAUUGGCUGGCUAGCUAGCUAUACAAGGAGGACACCAGGCAGCAGUUGACCAAAGUUAACGAAGAUGCCUCUAGUGGUAGCUUUGGCAUGUAUUGUUGAGACAUUCGACAGGAGCUUCUGGAGUACAUCUAACGACGUCUGAACCACAGUCCUUCGUUGUUUUGCAUGAAAGUCCACUUGCUGCUUUUAUCACACUUUCGAGGGAAUCACCUGCAAAAUACAAAUAUCAUUUAAUUACCAGUUGUUUCCUUGCAUCAAACAAGGACUGGUGCUGUAUUAUAAGAGAGAGACAGAGAGACUAACGAUGCUACGAGCAAAGGCAAUGCAACAAAUGCCAUCUUGGAAUAAGUCUUCUCCAUAGUUUUCCCUUUUCUUCUAAUCUGUUGCUAUAAACGAGUAAGGGUUUUCGUUUUCUAUGCACGAAAUAAACCUGCUUUAACAUGUAUUUAUAGACGGGGCAAGUACGAAGAAAUUCAUGGAGCAUGAUGAGAUGCCAAAAGAAAA